Molecule: small nuclear RNA, 62 nt
Filed under: Erinaceus europaeus (western European hedgehog)
Lineage: Eukaryota; Metazoa; Chordata; Mammalia; Eulipotyphla; Erinaceidae
Description: U7 small nuclear RNA
Rfam family: U7 small nuclear RNA
About the family: Animal histone pre-mRNAs are spliced by a different mechanism than nuclear pre-mRNAs and self-splicing introns. This processing involves the U7 snRNP, which contains only one RNA species: U7.
Source: Rfam by way of RNAcentral
AAGUGUUAAAUCUCUUUUAGUAUUUGCCUAGCAGUUCUUUUGUUCUGCAUUGGAAGUCCCCU